RNAcentral lists this ribosomal RNA (482 nucleotides) under uncultured bacterium. RNAcentral describes it as "partial 16S ribosomal RNA". It matches the Rfam family "Bacterial small subunit ribosomal RNA", at positions 30 to 507 of the family's 1533-position model. The record is from RNAcentral.
AUUGAACGCUGGCGGCAUGCCUUACACAUGCAAGUCGAACGGUAACGGGCCUUCGGGUGCCGACGAGUGGCGAACGGGUGAGUAAUACAUCGGAACGUGCCCGAUCGUGGGGGAUAACGAGGCGAAAGCUUUGCUAAUACCGCAUACGAUCUACGGAUGAAAGCAGGGGACCGCAAGGCCUUGCGCGGACGGAGCGGCCGAUGGGAGAUUAGGUAGUUGGUGGGAUAAAAGCUUACCAAGCCGACGAUCUGUAGCUGGUCUGAGAGGAUGAUCAGCCACACUGGGACUUAGCCACGCCCCAGACUCCUACGGGAGGCAGUAGUGGGGAAUUUUGGACAAUGGGCGCAAGCCUGAUCCAGCCAUGCCGCGUGCAGGAUGAAGGCCUUCGGGUUGUAAACUGCUUUUGUACGGAACGAAAAGCCUUCUUUUAAUACAGGAGGGUCAUGACGGUACCGUAAGAAUAAGCACCGGCUAACUACGUG